AGGUGGGGAAAUGGUCAAAGAGCGAUGGGCCCAGAAAAGGGUCAGACCCAGAUGGAGAUGCUACUGGCUGCUAGCAGACCCCCACGCUGGGUCUAGCCCACCCAAUCCCAUGGGGAUGCUCCUGUGCUCUGCAGACAUCUGGGUGCUGCCACAGGGGCCCGACAGAGUUGGCAUCUGGGUGGAUCUGAGCCAAGUGGUGCUUCUGGGCCUCAGCAAGUAGCUGGUGCCGAUUCUGGGCAGCCAACUGUGGCAGCGUCUUCAGGUGCGAGUGCUGCUGGGUGAAGCUGCGUGGGCAGUCCAGAAAGUGACGUGACAGUCCACAGGGACCGACGUAGGGUUUCCAGCCCCUAUCUGUGCAGAUGCUGUCCUCCAAACCAUCACGGUCCCUCUCUGGCUGGGGACGUGUGCCUGCCACUGCUGGCUUGCCAGCAUGAUCAUUGGUUGUGACCUGUUGAGCCCAUCUUGCCAGCCUCACAAAGGACAGUACCAGCUGCUUAUGACAGGAAAGUGGAAGAACUUGGCCUGGAUAUUUCUGGAGAAUUACCGUGUGUGCUAGUCAGUCUUUCGUGUCAACCAGGCCAGGCUGUGGGGCCCAGUGAUCUCAUCGCGACGGGCCGAGGUGUUGCUGUGAUCGUGUGCUGCUGGAAUGUGGUGAACACCUACAGUCCAUUUCACCUAAAGAUCAUCCUUGAGAAUGUGGGUGGGCCUCAUCCUAUCAGCUGAAAGCUUUAAGAGCAAAACCCGAGGUGUCCCAGAGAGGGAAUUCUGCCUUGAGACGGCGGCUUCCACUCCCACUGGAUGUCCAGCCCGCGGCCCCACGGCUGGGUGAGCCCGUCCUCUCCUCGUUUCUGCCUCCUGUUUGUUCUGUCUCUGGACCCACGGUGUGGCCCCAGACCCUCCAGUGAGGACCUCCCGUGUUUCUUCAGAGCAGCCCUUGCGUGCUGGAGGCCUGGGCUUCAGUGUGUCCCUGGGUGCCCUGGGGCAUGUUCUGUGACCUCCCAGCUCCUCGCCUCAUGGGGCCGCUGUAUCAAGUGACACAGUUUGUGUGCUGCGUACCAUGCCUGGCACCCAUUUGAGGUGUUGCAAGGAGGCCAUGUUUGCUCGAUGAGAGCAGCCUAAGAUCUACAAACUGUUGUUCGAGUGGAUGGGAACUUGAUGCUAUUUCAGGCUGAAUGACAAGACUCCGCGAUGCUUCUCGGCCUGGGCUGCACAACGGAAUCUACCAGGGAGGUUUUAAAAACACUGGUACUUGCUGGAGGUGGUGGCGCCUGUCUGUAAUUGCAGCUGCUCCAGAGGCUGAGGCGGAGGAUUGCUUGAGCCCAAGAGUUUCGGUUUAUUUGCUUUUUCAGAGUCUUGCUCUAGCCCAGGCUGGAGUGCAGUUCCAUGAUCUCGGCUCACUGCCUCAGCCUCCCAAGUAGCUGGGAUUACAGGUGCAUACAACCAGGCCUGGCUGAUCUUCGUAUUUUUAGUAGAGAUGGGGUUUCACCAUGAUGGUCAGGCUGGUGAAGAUCUCCUGACCUCAAGUGAUCUGCCUGCCUCGGCCUCCCAAAGUGCUGGGAUUACAGACAUGAACCACAACACCUGCCGAGCCCAGGUGUUUUGAAUCCAGCAUGGGCAACGGCAAGACCCUGUCCCAGCAAACAAAAAAACACUGGUGCCUGAGGCCCACCCCGAGAGAUUCUGAUUGAGUUGAUUUGGAUGUGAAUUAUCUUUAAAAUUUUGGAUGUGAAUUUUUUUUUUUUUUCUUGGAAUGGAGUUUCACUCUUGUUCCCCAGGCUGGAGUGCAACGGGACGAUCUUGGCUCACCGCAACCUCUGCCUACUGGGUUCAAGCCAUUCUCCUGCCUCAGCUUCCCAAGUAGCUGGGAUUACAGGCAUGUGCUACCAUGCCCAGCUAAUUUUGUAUUUUUAGUAGAGACAGGGUUUCUCCAUGUUGCUCAGGCUGGUCUUGAACUCCUGACCUCAGGUGAUCCGCCCGCCUCGGACUCCCAAAGUGCUGGGAUUACAGGCAUGAGCCACCAUGCCUGGCCGGAUGUGAAUUAUCUUAAAAAUUUUCAGGUAAUUCUAAUGGGCCAAGGUUGAGAACCCCUGCUCUGGGCCCAUCCGAGCACCAGGCUGUCACAAACGCAUGCAUGCACUCACGCCCGUGGGCUUGGGGGGCUUCGGAAAUGUGCUUCUGCUUUUUUGAGAUGGGGUCUUUCUGUUGCCCAUCCCGGAGCACAGUGGCACGAUCACAGCUCACUGCAGCCUCGAUCUCCUGGGCUCAGGUGAUCCUCCCGCCUCAGCCUCCCGAGUGUCUGCUUCUGGUUUUCAUGAUGACCUGGGGCCCAGGCAUACUACACUUGUGCUGUUCAGGGGCCAGUCCUGCACCAGGAGCCCAUCAGCCACAGCUCCGCCGAGAAGCACUGAUAUGCAGAGCUAAGCAGCUUUGUUUCCACGUGGAUCCUGCGUAGGUUUUCUUGGUCCAUCCAUAGACACCGCACUCCUGCAGAGGAUCUUCUUGGGAUGCCCCACUGUCUCUGUUUUCCCGCUUCACUGAACACUCAGUCGGGGCUCGCCAUGAUGCCUGUGUCUGCUGGCUUCUCCCCCAUUGGAACAGCCUUCUUGGCACGCCACACUGCUAGCUGCUGGGCACUGUGCUUUCUGCCUUUACCGUUCUGCCGUGAUGUUGCCAAAAUAGCAACAACAACAACAACAAAGGCUGGGCACCGUGGCUCAUGCCUGUAUUCCCAGCAGUUCGAGAUCAGCCUGGGCAACAUGCCCCAACUGGACCCUAGGCAAAAGUGAGUGGCACUCCUCUGCCAGGACUCCAGGCGAGCCCCGGCAUCUUCUUGCUGCCGUCCCAGACAACAGAAGUUACCAGAUGAACAGACUUGGAUGGGCCACGGGGGUGGAGAGCUGGAAAGCUUGGCUGUGCCUCUCGAUGAUGAUUAAGAUUUCAAUAUUUACAGCAAAACCACAAAGCAAAUGAUAGAAUAAAGCAAAACAAUGGAAAAUCUGAGUUCACUCGUGAGAGAGGUACGUAUGUGAGCUCUGAGGAAAUUACAGAGGGAACGCAUGCAGCGGGACAGCUCUCCCAAUCGCAGCGUGCAAAGUAGACAUCCAUAGUGUCUUUUGAAAAAUGAAAGACACAUUACUUUGAACAGCCAAGAAAAAAAAUUGCAAUUUAUUAAGAUUCAAUAAAGCGUUGUACUUUCGAAAGCA
This 3203-nucleotide non-coding RNA is filed under the name Pan troglodytes (chimpanzee). The record is from RNAcentral. Lineage: Eukaryota; Metazoa; Chordata; Mammalia; Primates; Hominidae.